GGCGCGCCGCCGCCGCCGCAGAGCCUCGCCCGGCGCGUCGCAGCAGUGCAGCGGAAGGGAACGGAGCGGGCGGGCAUGGAGGCAGCGGAGAAGGAGUGCGGGGCGCUGGGCGGCCUUUUCCAGGCCAUCGUCAACGACAUGAAGAGCUCCUACCCUGUCUGGGAAGAUUUCAACUCGAAAGCCACGAAGCUCCACUCCCAGCUGCGGACCACCAUACUGGCUGCAGUGGCUUUCCUGGAGGCCUUCCAGAGAGUGGCAGACAUGGCCACCAACACCAGAGG
Molecule: non-coding RNA, 281 nt
Organism: Thamnophis sirtalis
Lineage: Eukaryota; Metazoa; Chordata; Lepidosauria; Squamata; Natricidae
Source: RefSeq, a predicted model, not a curated record